GGAAACAAAGGUUGCUUUAUUUAAAGUAGAUGCAUGAUAACAUGCAUGGUUUUCUUUUUUUGAAGGAGGAUAAUAACAUGCAUGGUUGGUUUUUAGUUUUUGAGACAUAUCAUUCUUAAGUGACAAUUUCCAAAGCCGUCUUCUGAAGGAGGAUAACUGCGUUUCAAGUAGUCUUUUUCAAUAGUGUCCGAAAAUAUUUUCAGAGUGACUGGCAUAUACUUCCACCAUAAAUCCA
This 235-nucleotide long non-coding RNA is filed under the name Medicago truncatula (barrel medic). Its description in RNAcentral is "lncRNA gene14595". The record is from RNAcentral. Lineage: Eukaryota; Viridiplantae; Streptophyta; Magnoliopsida; Fabales; Fabaceae.